GAUGAACGCUAGCGGCAGGCCUAAUACAUGCAAGCCGAACGGCAAGUUUGAUAGCAAUAUUGGACCUAGAGUGGCGCAAGGGUGCGUAACACGUAUGCAACCUGCCCGCGACAGGAGGAUAGCUCCCCGAAAGGGGAAUUAACCCUCCAUAACACCAUGAGAAGGCAUCUGAUUAUGGUUAAACCGCACGGGGUCGCGGAUGGGCAUGCGGUUGAUUAGCUAGUUGGCGGGGUAAAGGCCCACCAAGGCGGUGAUCAAUAGGGGUUCUGAGAGGAAGGUCCUCCACACUGGGACUGAGAUACGGGCCAGACACCGACGGGAGGCAGCAGUAGGGAAUAUUGGACAAUGGGUGCAAGACUGAUCCAGCCAUGCCGCGUGCAGGAAGAAGGCCUUCUGGGUCGUAAACUGCUUUUUCCUGUGGAUAAAAUACCCGCGCGCGGGGAAUUGAAGGUAACAGGGGAAUAAGCCACGGCUAACUCCGUG
RNAcentral lists this ribosomal RNA (483 nucleotides) under uncultured bacterium. RNAcentral's name for it is "partial 16S ribosomal RNA". It matches the Rfam family "Bacterial small subunit ribosomal RNA", at positions 28 to 507 of the family's 1533-position model. The record is from RNAcentral.